RNAcentral lists this ribosomal RNA (488 nucleotides) under uncultured bacterium. RNAcentral describes it as "bacterial LSU rRNA". It matches the Rfam family "Bacterial large subunit ribosomal RNA", at positions 1975 to 2460 of the family's 2925-position model. The record is from RNAcentral.
GGUAAGUUCCGACCUGCACGAAUGGAGUAACGAUUUGGGCGCUGUCUCCACCACGAACUCGGCGAAAUUGCAUUACGAGUAAAGAUGCUCGUUACGCGCAGCAGGACGGAAAGACCCCGGGACCUUUUACUAUAGUUUGGUAUUGGUGAUCGGUACGACUUGUGUAGGAUAGGUGGGAGACUGUGAAGCAUUCACGCUAGUGGGUGUGGAGUCAUCGUUGAAAUACCACUCUGGUCGUUCUGGUUAUCUAACCUCGGACCAUGAUCUGGUCCAGGGACAGUGCCUGAUGGGUAGUUUGACUGGGGCGGUCGCCUCCCAAAAGGUAACGGAGGCGCCCAAAGGUUCCCUCAGCCUGGUUGGCAAUCAGGUGUUGAGUGUAAGUGCACAAGGGGAGCUUGACUGUGAGACUGGACAGGUCGAGCAGGGACGAAAGUCGGGACUAGUGAUCUGACGGUGGCGUGUGGAAGCGCCGUCACUCAACGGAUAAA